This 465-nucleotide ribosomal RNA is filed under the name uncultured Klebsiella sp. RNAcentral's name for it is "bacterial SSU rRNA". It matches the Rfam family "Bacterial small subunit ribosomal RNA", at positions 338 to 795 of the family's 1533-position model. Lineage: Bacteria; Pseudomonadati; Pseudomonadota; Gammaproteobacteria; Enterobacterales; Enterobacteriaceae. The record is from RNAcentral.
CCUACGGGUGGCAGCAGUGGGGAAUAUUGCACAAUGGGCGCAAGCCUGAUGCAGCCAUGCCGCGUGUGUGAAGAAGGCCUUCGGGUUGUAAAGCACUUUCAGCGGGGAGGAAGGCGUUAAGGUUAAUAACCUUGGCGAUUGACGUUACCCGCAGAAGAAGCACCGGCUAACUCCGUGCCAGCAGCCGCGGUAAUGCGGAGGGUGCAAGCGUUAAUCGGAAUUACUGGGCGUAAAGCGCACGCAGGCGGUCUGUCAAGUCGGAUGUGAAAUCCCCGGGCUCAACCUGGGAACUGCAUUCGAAACUGGCAGGCUAGAGUCUUGUAGAGGGGGGUAGAAUUCCAGGUGUAGCGGUGAAAUGCGUAGAGAUCUGGAGGAAUACCGGUGGCGAAGGCGGCCCCCUGGACAAAGACUGACGCUCAGGUGCGAAAGCGUGGGGAGCAAACAGGAUUAGAUACCCGAGUAGUC